CGGCGGACGGGUGAGUAACGCGUACGAAUCUACCUAGUAGUGGGGGAUAACAUGGUGAAAACCAUGCUAAUACCGCAUACGUCCUACGGGAGAAAGAGGGGGACCAUUUGGCCUCUUGCUAUUAGAUGAGCGUGCGUAAGAUUAGCUAGUUGGUGGGGUAAAGGCCUACCAAGGCGACGAUCCGUAGCUGGUCUGAGAGGAUGAUCAGCCACAUCGGGACUGAGACACGGCCCGA
This 235-nucleotide ribosomal RNA is filed under the name uncultured bacterium. RNAcentral's name for it is "partial 16S ribosomal RNA". It matches the Rfam family "Bacterial small subunit ribosomal RNA", at positions 96 to 334 of the family's 1533-position model. The record is from RNAcentral.